This 72-nucleotide transfer RNA is filed under the name Camelus bactrianus (Bactrian camel). It matches the Rfam family "tRNA". From Rfam's summary of the family: Transfer RNA (tRNA) molecules are approximately 80 nucleotides in length. Their secondary structure includes four short double-helical elements and three loops (D, anti-codon, and T loops). RNAcentral also lists the same sequence under 2 other names. Lineage: Eukaryota; Metazoa; Chordata; Mammalia; Artiodactyla; Camelidae. The record is from Rfam by way of RNAcentral.
GAGGGUAUAGCUCAGCGGUAGAGCACACGCUUAGCAUGCACAAGGUCCUGGGUUCAAUCCCCAGGACCUCCA